GGGAUAUGCGGCGCGAAUUCGCCCUUACUCCUACGGUGAGGCAGCAGUGGAGGAAUAUUGAGACAAUGGCGGGCAACCCUGAUCCAGCAAUGCCGCGUGUGUGAAGAAGGCCUUCGGGUUGUAAAGCACUUUCAGUGGGGACAAACAAGGCGGAGCUAACACCUCCGUCCCUGAUGGUACCCAAAGAAGAAGCACCGGCUAACUCUGUGCCAGCAGCCGCGGUAAUACAGAGGGUGCAAGCGUUAAUCGGAAUUACUGGGCGUAAAGCGUGCGUAGGUGGUUUGUUAAGUCAGGUGUGAAAUCCUCGGGCUCAACCCGGGAACUGCGCUUGAUACUGGCAGACUCGAGUGUGGUAGAGGAUAGUGGAAUUCCCGGUGUAGCGGUGAAAUGCGUAGAUAUCGGGAGGAACAUCAGUGGCGAAGGCGGCUAUCUGGACCAACACUGACACUGAGGUACGAAAGCGUGGGUAGCAAACAGGAUUAGAUACCCUGGUAGUCCACGCCGUAAACUAUGGGUGCUAGCCGUCGGGGAGCUUGCUCUUCGGUGGCGCAGCUAACGCUUUAAGCACCCCGCCUGGGGAGUACGGUCGCAAGAUUA
RNAcentral lists this ribosomal RNA (597 nucleotides) under uncultured bacterium. RNAcentral's name for it is "bacterial SSU rRNA". It matches the Rfam family "Bacterial small subunit ribosomal RNA", at positions 315 to 896 of the family's 1533-position model. The record is from RNAcentral.